Long non-coding RNA from Zingiber officinale, 349 nucleotides. RefSeq lists it as uncharacterized. Lineage: Eukaryota; Viridiplantae; Streptophyta; Magnoliopsida; Zingiberales; Zingiberaceae. The transcript is spliced from 3 exons. The record is from RefSeq and is a predicted model, not a curated record.
AGUGUUGAAGGAAAUCUCCGUCUGUUAGCAUAUGAGUUUGCUACAAUGGGGUCUCUCCAUGACAUUCUUCAUGGACGAAAAGGAGUUAAAGGAGCACAACCAGGACUAGUGUUGUCAUGACUCCAAAGAGUUAAAAUUGCUGUCGGAGCAGCAAAAGGAUUGGAAUACCUGCAUGAGAAAGCCCAACCUCAUAUCAUUCAUCGUGAUAUAAAGUCAAGAAAGUGAAAGUGAGGAUGAUGGUCUUGACAUGGGUGAUGAUGAUAAUGUUGAGGAACCUGAAAAUGAACCAGAGGCUGUUAGGAAAUAACCAACCAUUGAGAAACCUACUCCUGUUUCAGCACCACCCAAA